This is a long non-coding RNA of Alligator mississippiensis (American alligator), 3016 nucleotides long. RefSeq lists it as uncharacterized. The transcript is spliced from 3 exons. The record is from RefSeq and is a predicted model, not a curated record. Lineage: Eukaryota; Metazoa; Chordata; Crocodylia; Alligatoridae.
GGGGCGGGGAAUAGAGUGCAUCUUUAAACUAUUAGUUGCAAAAAUGUGUCUACUUUGUCUUUCAAGCUAUAAAAAUGUAUCCAUAAUAUCUGCCUUAUUCUGCUUGCUGUUGCUUCAUUUAUAAGCUGUCCGUCUCUGAAGUGCACAAACUAAUCACACUUCAGAUUCCUGGCACCAAAUCUCCACUGCUGUAGCCUCAUUUGUUUUUUGUUUGUUUGUUUGUGUGUGUGUUUUCCCCCUCUAAUAUCAUUAAGUAGAAGCUGUCUCUCUACAUCAAAAAGAAAAUGGUUCUUUAAAUUUUUGUGUGUGUAAAUUUUUUUCACUAUUUGCAAUGUUUUGAUUGUUUUCAACAACAACAACAACAAAAAGAAUACAAUUUUAGUAAAAUAGUUCCAGUAUUUUGCUGUUAAAUGUUCACGUUUGGGAUAAAAAUAUUUUGGGGUUCUGUUGCUUGAAUGCUGGAUACUUUUACUAACAUACACAGGUGUUAAAGAUUUUUUUUUUAACGGGAGCAUUUUGUGGUUCAGUUUUGUAACCAAAAAUAAAAUUUUAUUUUUUUUUUAUGGAUAAUGUUCCAUGAAAAAUAAUUGGCCCUUGCCAACAGGCUCUGCUUUGAGCAGAGUAUUAGGCAUGUGUGUGUUUACAGGACUGGAGUUUAUCUCUAUCUUCAUUACUGUGAGUAGUGCCACUUGUUUCAAUAAAUAUGUUCAUAGCAGUAGGGUUAAGUAUAUGUAUAACUGUUUGCAGUAUCAGGGUCUGUAUAUAUGACUUGUUUUUCUGCCCCUGGAGAAUCAUCCCCCUGUUGACAUUACUAAGUUAUUGGUCUGGAUAGUUGACAUAGACAUACUAGGCCAUAUUGCUUUCUCCCAUGGUAAAUCCAAAGCUAGAACCCAUGAGAUCCUCCUUGCAGUGUUUUCCUAUGCUGUUCCAUGUUGGCAGGGAUAAUUUAAGUGCAUGUUGGAGAUCUCAACACCUCCCACCAUGGAUCCCAUAAGUGUCAAUUAAGGGAAACACUUAAAAAGGCCCUUAACAUUAAGAAAGUGCUUAAGUCCCGUUGACUUCAAAAUGACCUAAACAUAUGGUUGUAGUUAAACACAUGCUAAAAUGUUUCCCUGAAUCAGGGCCAAGAGCCUGAUCCAUAGGCCACAGAAGCUGGUGAAAAGGCUACCACCAGGGUUCAGAAAAGGGAAGGUUUAAGGGGCUGAGCCACCCCCACCCCCAUAAGAGACAAGAGCCUCCGGCCUGCCUUGUAUCUUUCUAAGCAGCUUAAGGGGCAACAGCUCCUUCUGACUUCUGGCUGCCACCACACCAGGACCACCCGACCACCCCCACCCCAAGAGUCGGAGCGUAAUUUGAACCCUGCUCUUAACAAAGGAAGAUAUGAACCUCUGCUGGGUGCUGAGCAUCUAUGCCAAGCCCUUCUGUUAUACUGACUUCUAUAGGGUUGAGACCUUAGGCACAGUUCCUUCAGACAUGUGUCUAAGGCUAAAAACAGAUGACUGUUUUCUUCCAAGACAAAGAAUUUUAUUCUGUAAUCUUACAGACACACCGGUUUAUUGUCCCAGUUCAAGUACCUAUGAAAUAUCCAAAUUUUGCCCUGGGAUAGUCUAAACUAAUUCAAAGUAAUUACCAUUCAAGCUGUGUAUGUAAAUGAUCGUCCUGGUCUGUUUUGAUACACGUCAGAACCUGGGACAAUCAGCCCCAGAUUAAACUGAUCAUCUGUUUUUAGCCUAAAUGUAGUUUCUUAAUCAGUCAGACCUGUUCAUGUUCUGAAAGGUAAGCCCAUAUGUAAGUAUUUAUAGACUCAAAGCCCAAACUUGCUCCUGGUUGUUGAAAUCCUUAAUUGUUUUUAAUCCCAUUUAAUAAACUUAAUCAGUUUUUUAGAACCUUGGAUUAUUGAUAGAGUCAUCAAUAAUCUUCACUGCACAAAUUACAAUAGCUAUUUCUUUGGGGAUGUUAAAUUUAGAAGUAAAUAUAGUUUUAAUUGGACCAUGUGUAUUUAUUCCCAUACAUAACAUGAGAGCGCCAAAUAUUGUUCUGCCUUCCAUGCAUUAUUUUGUAAGAGCUCCUAUAGUAUUAAAAGACUGUCUGCUUUGAUAUGUCUUUCAGCAGGGUUUGAAUGAAAUUGUCUUUUUCAGUAAAAUGAGUGUUUCUCCAAAUUUCAGACCAUAUGAGAUCUUGAACUGCACCUGACAACAAUGUGGCCUUCUUGUGAGUUUGCUUCCUUUUUUAAAAUUGUUUCCUACUUGAGUAAAAACAACAGAAAACAAAAUUGGCUCAUUAUUGUGAUAAAAGCUUGCUUUUACUUAUAACAUAUUUCUGUAAAACCUUUUUCUGCUAACAGUGCAGUAUGUGAAAUGACUGUAUUUUUAAAAAAAGUUUCUAACAUAGGACUAUAAAAUGCAGCCUCCACUCAUUUAUUAAAAAAAAAGAGGCAUCAGCCCACACAUAAUACCUUCUGAAGUGAAAGGAUUAGCCUCUAAUUAACAAAGCUAAUGUCACUCUCUAAUACUGAUUGUCACAGAGCACUGAGGUGCCCUGCUUCUAAAGAGGGGAAAACUAUUAGGGAAAGAGCCCUAGCAGUGAAUCAGGAGUCCAGCUGUUGGUUGCCAGGGCAACUGGAGCUAGCAACAGAUCACACCUGCCAGCGGUCAGCUGACAGAAAGGGGCAGGGCCUGGCUCCCUUAUAAACCCUAGGGGAUGAGGCCAGAGGUGGUUCCCUGCCAGCAGCUCAGGAGGAAGGAGCUCUCUGCCAUGGGAGAGAGGAGAAGCAUGAUGCAGGAGCAUAUCUGACACUGCUGCAAGAUAAAGAAUCUCUGAUGAUGUAUUACAUAAGCCUCUGGUCUGUUGGGUGAAGUUAACAAAGGCAGAUUGCUCGUGUCUCUGCAUUCCAUGCUGGGAUUUUUUUUUGACUGCAGGGUUUCAUUCGUUGUAACAGUGCGACUGGCAUCCACACGUGCGGGUGGGCGCAGAGCUCAGAGGAGCGGGUGGCAGCAGCAGGCGACUGCCCUGCGCA